This 253-nucleotide ribosomal RNA is filed under the name uncultured bacterium. Its description in RNAcentral is "partial 16S ribosomal RNA". It matches the Rfam family "Bacterial small subunit ribosomal RNA", at positions 524 to 776 of the family's 1533-position model. The record is from RNAcentral.
UACGUAGGUGGCGAGCGUUGUCCGGAUUUACUGGGCGUAAAGAGCGCGCAGGCGGUCGUUCAAGUCGCGUGUGAAAGCCCCCGGCUCAACUGGGGAGGGUCACGCGAUACUGAUCGACUCGAAGGCAGGAGAGGGUAGUGGAAUUCCCGGUGUAGUGGUGAAAUGCGUAGAUAUCAGGAGGAACACCAAUUGCGAAGGCAGCUCGCUGGGACGUUACUGACGCUGAGACGCGAAAGCGUGGGGAGCAAACAGG